RNAcentral lists this ribosomal RNA (1488 nucleotides) under uncultured Bacteroides sp. RNAcentral's name for it is "bacterial SSU rRNA". It matches the Rfam family "Bacterial small subunit ribosomal RNA". The record is from RNAcentral. Lineage: Bacteria; Pseudomonadati; Bacteroidota; Bacteroidia; Bacteroidales; Bacteroidaceae.
UUUGAUCCUGGCUCAGGAUGAACGCUAGCUACAGGCUUAACACAUGCAAGUCGAGGGGCAUCAGGAAGAAAGCUUGCUUUCUUUGCUGGCGACCGGCGCACGGGUGAGUAACACGUAUCCAACCUGCCCUUUACUCGGGGAUAGCCUUUCGAAAGAAAGAUUAAUACCCGAUGGCAUAAUGAUUCCGCAUGGUUUCAUUAUUAAAGGAUUCCGGUAAAGGAUGGGGAUGCGUUCCAUUAGGUUGUUGGUGAGGUAACGGCUCACCAAGCCUUCGAUGGAUAGGGGUUCUGAGAGGAAGGUCCCCCACAUUGGAACUGAGACACGGUCCAAACUCCUACGGGAGGCAGCAGUGAGGAAUAUUGGUCAAUGGGCGCUAGCCUGAACCAGCCAAGUAGCGUGAAGGAUGAAGGCUCUAUGGGUCGUAAACUUCUUUUAUAUAAGAAUAAAGUGCAGUAUGUAUACUGUUUUGUAUGUAUUAUAUGAAUAAGGAUCGGCUAACUCCGUGCCAGCAGCCGCGGUAAUACGGAGGAUCCGAGCGUUAUCCGGAUUUAUUGGGUUUAAAGGGAGCGUAGGUGGACUGGUAAGUCAGUUGUGAAAGUUUGCGGCUCAACCGUAAAAUUGCAGUUGAUACUGUCAGUCUUGAGUACAGUAGAGGUGGGCGGAAUUCGUGGUGUAGCGGUGAAAUGCUUAGAUAUCACGAAGAACUCCGAUUGCGAAGGCAGCUCACUGGACUGCAACUGACACUGAUGCUCGAAAAGUGUGGGGUAUCAAACAGGAUUAGAUACCCUGGUAGUCCACACAGUAAACGAUGAAUACUCGCUGUUUGCGAUAUACAGUAAGCGGCCAAGCGAAAGCAUUAAGUAUUCCACCUGGGGAGUACGCCGGCAACGGUGAAACUCAAAGGAAUUGACGGGGGCCCGCACAAGCGGAGGAACAUGUGGUUUAAUUCGAUGAUACGCGAGGAACCUUACCCGGGCUUAAAUUGCAGUGGAAUGAUGUGGAAACAUGUCAGUGAGCAAUCACCGCUGUGAAGGUGCUGCAUGGUUGUCGUCAGCUCGUGCCGUGAGGUGUCGGCUUAAGUGCCAUAACGAGCGCAACCCUUAUCUUCAGUUACUAACAGGUCAUGCUGAGGACUCUGGAGAGACUGCCGUCGUAAGAUGUGAGGAAGGUGGGGAUGACGUCAAAUCAGCACGGCCCUUACGUCCGGGGCUACACACGUGUUACAAUGGGGGGUACAGAAGGCAGCUAGCGGGUGACCGUAUGCUAAUCCCAAAAGCCUCUCUCAGUUCGGAUCGAAGUCUGCAACCCGACUUCGUGAAGCUGGAUUCGCUAGUAAUCGCGCAUCAGCCACGGCGCGGUGAAUACGUUCCCGGGCCUUGUACACACCGCCCGUCAAGCCAUGGGAGCCGGGGGUACCUGAAGUACGUAACCGCAAGGAUCGUCCUAGGGUAAAACUGGUGACUGGGGCUAAGUCGUAACAAGGUAACC